GUGCUUGCUUUGGCAAUAUACAAACUAUACUGUGAAUGAAACGGAGAAGACUAGCAUGGCUUCUGUGCAAGAAUGACAUAAAAAUUUGUGAAAUGUCUCACAAUUAC
Small nuclear RNA from Grammomys surdaster, 107 nucleotides. NCBI's taxonomy places the organism in Eukaryota, Metazoa, Chordata, Mammalia, Rodentia, Muridae. The record is from RefSeq and is a predicted model, not a curated record.